CAUGGUCAACACUUGCUAUCAAGCAGCUGGCAAACGUUGGCCUAAUUUCAUUGCUGUUGAUUUCUACAAGGUGCUACAAAUUAUACUUGAAAAAAAAAAUAGCAUUUGAAUUGAAAGAAUAAUGCUAGUCACACAUCACCUCAAGUUUACACUACUAUUACACACAUACUCUGAUUUUGUCACUUAACACAGAAGUGUUAUGAGGUGUUUGAUGUUGAUGUGCACACCAAUCAUGUUAUUUAUACAACUAAUUUGUACAACAAGGUUAUACAACAAUAUCGAAUGCUUACCCAAGAAGGGAUGUUGUCAACUUUGUUGUACAAAAAAUAUUUUUUAUGUGCGCGCUGCGCACCAAACAUUGUUCAAAUUUUUAUUGUCUACUUUGAAUAAGAGAAUUGUGAUGUAUUGUUAAACAUAACCAAAUUCUAUACAUUGAUGUUUUAGAGAAGUGAUGGAGGAGGAGCUCCAGAAGCAGUAGAUGCUGCCAAUGGUCAUCUAGUAUGUGGGUGUAAAAACAUAGCCUCCUGCAAGGUAUGAACAAUUACUUUCACUGAUCCAUUACCCUGUUGUAAGUUUGCAUUAUAAUGAAUUUUGAUUUGUGCAGGAAAACAUGACUUUUGGAGUAUGUGAUUUAUUACCUGAGGCUGAAACAACUCCUCAUCAAGCACUACCACCACAUGCCUCCUUUGGCUUUCAAAAUUGCAAGCCAGUUG
This 713-nucleotide long non-coding RNA is filed under the name Lupinus angustifolius (narrow-leaved blue lupine). RNAcentral's name for it is "long non-coding RNA (LANG_LNC000984)". The record is from RNAcentral. Lineage: Eukaryota; Viridiplantae; Streptophyta; Magnoliopsida; Fabales; Fabaceae.